CCUGAGCCCAGCAUUCUAUGAUGGUUUUGAUGAAUUACAGGUGUUCUCUUUGAAUCGAAUCAGAUAGCCUUUUAUUAUGGAGAAUUAACAACAACAAAAAUUGGUAAAUUGGGAUAAGGCAGUUAUGACAUGUGCCCGUGAUAUUUAGAUUUACAGAAAGUCAAUUCAGCGACAAAAGGUGCACAUCUUUCUCACUGGUCUUGAUGUGGAAUUUGAGCAAAUUCGUGAAGAAAUUCUACGCAAAGAUCCUAUACCUGAAUUGGAGGCCACAUAUGCCCUUGUUAGACGUGAUUCAGUACGUCGGGCUGAAGGGGACAAAGUCUGACACAACAACCAUGAUUGCUCGAAAUCGAGCACCUAACCGGUCGUCUAAUGCUCAGCCAGAUCAAUAACAGGUCUGGUUGCAUCUCUGGGUCAAAUCGGUCUGGCAGGGCAACUGGGUCAGAUUGUUCAACCGGUCCAACCGAGUCAACAGAACUAGUGGUAGCUUAGAAUCCUUCAAUCACACCACGUCAUCUAAUGAUCGUUUUUGUACCCAUUGCAAUUAAACUGGUCAUCUAAAACAUCGAUGCUUCGAACUUGUGGGAUAUUCAGAUUGGUGGGAUCACAACCGCGAUCCAAGGAAGAAAAUUUAAACUGUAGUUGUUGCUGACACUAAGAAUGGUGAGAAUAGCGAUAUUGUUGACAAGGCCUCUGCCCUGGUGGCCAUUACAGGUAAUAUUGGUAAGGCUUUAAAUGUUUUCUGCAUUUGUUUUGAAUAAUACAUGGAUAAUUGAUUCUGGUGUCAUUGAUCAUAUGACUUUUGAUUCUAGACAUGUGUCGUCACUCACCCCAUCCACUAAACCUAGUGUGUCCACUGCUAAUGGGACUUCAGCCUCUGUUAUUGGGGAAGGAUCAGUUACUCUUACUGAUACUUUAAAUUUAGACUCAGUUCUCAUUGUUUCAUCCCUUGAUUACAAUUUGUUAUCUGUUUGCCAAAUUACAGUUGCUUUGCAUUGUAUUGUAAUUUUUUGGCCUUCU
Molecule: long non-coding RNA, 1020 nt
Filed under: Prunus dulcis (almond)
Lineage: Eukaryota; Viridiplantae; Streptophyta; Magnoliopsida; Rosales; Rosaceae
Description: sRNA ncRNA
Source: RNAcentral